This 214-nucleotide long non-coding RNA is filed under the name Elaeis guineensis (African oil palm). RNAcentral describes it as "long non-coding RNA (EGUI_LNC031911)". Lineage: Eukaryota; Viridiplantae; Streptophyta; Magnoliopsida; Arecales; Arecaceae. The record is from RNAcentral.
AUGAAAUUGUUACACAUAAAAAAUAAGUUAAAAAUUAAUAAAAAUAAUAUUUUUCAGAAUUUAAUUGUAGCUAUUGAUGCAAACCAAAAUAAAAAAUAUUUUUUUAGACAAAAUGGUGGCAAUCCAUCUCAUGUUUCAACGAUGAAAGUAAAUGAAACAAGAGCAGCAAAUAGAGAGAAUAAAGCAAAAGACAUUAGGAAAAAAGAGAGAAGAA